This 245-nucleotide ribosomal RNA is filed under the name uncultured bacterium. RNAcentral's name for it is "partial 16S ribosomal RNA". It matches the Rfam family "Bacterial small subunit ribosomal RNA", at positions 524 to 767 of the family's 1533-position model. The record is from RNAcentral.
UACAGAGGGUGCAAGCGUUAAUCGGAGUUACUGGGCGUAAAGGGCGCGUAGGUGGAUAUUUGAGUCGGAUGUGAAAUCCCUGGGCUUAACCUAGGAAUUGCAUUCGAUACUGGAUAUCUAGAGUAUGGUAGAGGAAAGUGGAAUUCCCGGUGUAGCAGUGAAAUGCGUAGAUAUCGGGAAGAACAUCAGUGGCGAAGGCGGCUUUCUGGACCAAUUACUGACACUGAGGCGCGAAAGCGUGGGGA